This 377-nucleotide ribosomal RNA is filed under the name uncultured eukaryote. Its description in RNAcentral is "partial 18S ribosomal RNA". It matches the Rfam family "Eukaryotic small subunit ribosomal RNA", at positions 592 to 976 of the family's 1831-position model. The record is from RNAcentral.
CAAUAGCGUAUAUUUAAGUUGCUGCAGUUAAAAAGCUCGUAGUUGGAUUUCGGGUGGGAAUGGCCGGUCCGCCGUUUCGGUGUGCACUUGCUACGCCCACCUUGCUGCCGGGGACGUGCUCUUGAGUUCACGCUCGGGACACGGAGUCGGCGAGGUUACUUUGAGUAAAUUAGAGUGUUCAUAGCAGGCCUACGCUCUGAAUACAUUAGCAUGGAAUAACACGAUAGGACUCUGGCCUAUCUUGUUGGUCUGUAGGACCGGAGUAAUGAUUAAGAGGGACAGUCGGGGGCAUUCGUAUUUCAUUGUCAGAGGUGAAAUUCUUGGAUUUAUGAAAGACGAACUACUGCGAAAGCAUUUGCCAAGGAUGUUUUCAUUAA